UACGUAGGGGGCUAGCGUUGUCCGGAUUUAUUGGGCGUAAAGCGCGUGUAGGCGGCCAGAUAGGUCCGCUGUGAAAACUCGAGGCUCAACCUCGAGACGUCGGUUGAAACCGUAUGGCUAGAGUCCGGAAGAGGAGAGUGGAAUUCCCGGUGUAGCGGUGAAAUGCGCAGAUAUCGGGAAGAACACCCGUGGCGAAGGCGGCUCUCUGGGACGGUACUGACGCUGAGACGCGAAAGCGUGGGGAGCGAACAGG
Molecule: ribosomal RNA, 253 nt
Filed under: uncultured bacterium
Lineage: Bacteria
Description: partial 16S ribosomal RNA
Rfam family: Bacterial small subunit ribosomal RNA
Source: RNAcentral